GGUCUUCGCGAUCUGAAAUAUUAUAUAAACGAUUAUUUAAUAAACAUUAAGAAAUAAUAAACAUUAAGAAAUAGUUCUAAAAUUCUAAGCUAGCUGGCCUCAUAUCUAAGUAACUCAAAAGUACUUUAGACUGAAUCAAAAGAACGCUAAAAUACUGAGUGAUACCUGUUAAAAUAAAACUUUGAGAUAAUAAGUAACGAAUAUAUCAAAGAACAUAAUUAAUAUAAAACAUUUUCUCUUUGUAAUAGACGUAUUGAAAUUAGACGAGGCACUAUUGAGGAAAUUAAGGCGACAAAAACUUUAAUAACACUACUAUCAUUUAAAAAAAACUUUAACUAGGUUUCCGUUGAUUUUGUGUUUCAAAAUAUUCUUUAAAUAUGAAAUUAUGUCAAGAGCAAAGCUCUUAUGUAGAUACAUAUUUUCUGGUGCUAAAAUGUAUCUAAUACCAGUUGCUUUUCAUUUCUAAUGAAUUUCCGUAAUUAAAUUAAAAUCAUACACCAAAACUUUGGACUUAUAUUAACAAAGAGAACGGUUAGAAUAAUGUUCGCUAAAUAUAAGCAGUUGACUCGUGACCAAAAAGUGGUUGUUUUUACGUUGGAAAAAGAACGAGUGCCGGUUCGCGAGAUAGCAAGAAGUGGGAUGCAGCCAUCCAACAAUAAUAAAUUUACUGAAGAAAAAAACCAGGACGUUUGGAGCAUUCGAGUAGGAUUCAAAUCAGGAGGAAGACGUCGUCUAGGACAGAUAAUAUAAUUCAUAGGAUUAGUUUGAAAGAUCGCUUCAGGAACUCCAUACAAAUAAGAAAAGACCUGGAAGAGCAACAUCAAAUCAAUUAGUUCAAGAAUUGUACGCAUGAGGCUACAAGAGUAUGGUUUAAGUGGAAGGAGGCCAGCGAAAAAACCACUCUUGACUACAAGGAUGAGACAGGCGCGGUUGGAAUGGGCAAGAAUCCACCGUAACUGGUCUUUACAGCAAUAAAAAACGGUAAUAUGGUCAGAUGAGAGCAAAUUUAAUUUGCACUGUACCACGAUUUGAGGGAGAACAAUUUAAAGAUAAUUGUAUGGUGAGAUCGGUUAAGCAUCCUGAAAGUCAAAUGGUCUGGGUAUGCUUUUUCACCAUAAACGAUGCCCUUUACUUUUUGUUGACGGUAUGAUGAAGACACAGAAAUACGGGGAGGUUAUAUCAAAUUUUAUUCUUCCGGCUAUAGAAGACCAAUAUGGGCAUACUUCCGCGGCCAUCUUUCAGUAUGACUCGGCACAAUGCCAUCGGGCCAAAUCGGUGCACAAAUUGUUUGAAGACCUCGGAUAACACAUAUGACGUGGCCAGUAAUUUCACCCGAUUUAAAUCCGAUUGAGCAUCUCUGGCACGCUAUGAAAAAGAAAGUGGCUCAACAUAAACUGCGCUCUAAGGCAGAGUAAAAAAAAUCUUGAAAAUGUGUGGCCACAGGAAAUUUCGAACGAGGUUUUCGAAAAACUUGUUAAUUCAAUGCCCGAACGGAUCAAAGCAGUUAUAGCCGCCAAGGGUUGAUCAACUAGUUAUUAGAACAUUUAGUACAAUAGUUAUAGAUUAUUGAAAAAAUAUACAAGGAUUAUUACAAUAUUGAAAACACAAUAUAUAAUUAAACAUAUCGGAUCCAUUUCACAGAAAGAUUAUACAUUUA
Long non-coding RNA from Bactrocera oleae (olive fruit fly), 1657 nucleotides. RefSeq lists it as uncharacterized. Lineage: Eukaryota; Metazoa; Arthropoda; Insecta; Diptera; Tephritidae. The record is from RefSeq and is a predicted model, not a curated record.